UACAGAGGUCCCAAGCGUUGUUCGGAUUCAUUGGGCGUAAAGGGUGCGUAGGCGGCGCGGUAAGUCGGGUGUGAAAUCUCGGGGCUUAACUCCGAAACUGCAUUCGAUACUGCCGUGCUUGAGGACUGGAGAGGAGACUGGAAUUUACGGUGUAGCGGUGAAAUGCGUAGAUAUCGUAAGGAAGACCAGUGGCGAAGGCGGGUCUCUGGACAGUUACUGACACUGAGGCACGAAGGCCAGGGGAGCAAACGGG
RNAcentral lists this ribosomal RNA (253 nucleotides) under uncultured bacterium. Its description in RNAcentral is "partial 16S ribosomal RNA". It matches the Rfam family "Bacterial small subunit ribosomal RNA", at positions 524 to 776 of the family's 1533-position model. The record is from RNAcentral.